Long non-coding RNA from Hippocampus zosterae (dwarf seahorse), 8073 nucleotides. RefSeq lists it as uncharacterized. The transcript has 5 exons. The record is from RefSeq and is a predicted model, not a curated record. NCBI's taxonomy places the organism in Eukaryota, Metazoa, Chordata, Actinopteri, Syngnathiformes, Syngnathidae.
GCUGUCUCCUUAGGUCUCUCGCUCCCUCCCUUUUCUCCACCACUCACUUGCCCUCUCCCACCCUUUCAAGUGCCGUUUUGGUACACUUUCACUCCUCUACCUUCUCUCACUCCUCCGUCUCUGUCCCUCCCUUUCUCUCUGUUGUACCCCCCCUACCCCACCCUUCGUCUUGUCUUCCUUGUUUUGCUCACACUCUGAUAGCGUGUCCCUGCCAUGUGUUUGACUAUUGCCUCUCUCUGGCCUCCGCAGUGUGCGCUCAACUUUGGAGAGGAAGGCGCCGUCGGGAUGGCCUCGGCAUCCCCUCCUUUUUUGGGGGGAAUGGGGGUUCUGCACGACCUGACUCCAGCUCACUUGCCUCGCAGAGAUUGCGGCCUAUGUGCUUUCGAUUUUCCCAAGUUGCUCCUGCCAAGCAAGUCUGAAGUCUGAGCAUGAGUUUAGGACGAAGAGAAGGAUAGUAGCAAUCAUGGGAACACCUACUUGUAUCUCUGUGUGAUCUCAUCCAACGUCAGUCUUGGAAGCAUUUAUGUGGGAAUUUGCCCUGCAAACUGAAGCCGCAACAGAAGUCGUUGUCCAGAAGAUUUUCACACCGUCAACAUAACGCCAAAACAAUGGUUGACUGUGAGAAAAUUCGACAAACUAGUCCUGGGGGAACAAUUCAAGAUGGCUGCCACCUGCGUGUCAAGGUUUCAGGUGAGUCAUCCUGUCAAGAUAAACACUGAGCCUCAAUUUCUUUUUGAAUUAUACGAAGGGAGUGAUUAAGGACAAAUCUGGUCAGUUCAGAUUAAAUUUAAUACUACAUUUGAAUCAGCACCCAAAUUAGCAAAGUAUGCACUCACGGUGAACACUCUCAAUAAUAAUGUUUUUGCUCAAUAUUGCGAUUGCAAUUUAAUAUGCAAGUUUUUUCCCCACGGUUUUCUUUCCAUGUAUUUGUAUUACAACAAACAAAAUCAGAUUUAUGAUGCCAAAAUAUUUUGGGUCUUACUGGUUUUGGCUCCCGCUAAAAUAAAGACAAAUGAACCAUGAAUCAGUAUAAAAGUUUAUUUCUCUACUUCAAAGUUUGAUUUGCAUUCACAAGAGCAACUUUGUAAAAUUCGACCAGACAAGUGAAUUAUCAGUCCGAUAACAAAAAUAAUGCAACGUUUCAAGAUUCAUGAAACUCGGGCUUCCAGUGUGUGUUCAACCUGAUAAAUGACGCCAGUUGUACUGUGGAUAAAACACAAUUUUUGAUUUUUUUAAAAACUGAAUAUUCAUCGAUACACUCAGACCUAAAAUGUUUCAGUUGCGAAUAUUUAUUACACUUAAAUUAAUCUACCCGUGGUUGUGUGUAUAAGCAUAAACCUGUAUCAAAAAUGUUUAACUUUUUUGUUGUUGUUUUGUUGCAAAUAUACUUAUUAAUUUGUUUUAUUUAAAAAUAAAAGUGUGGAAAGUUCGUUGAUUGAUGGUUGCUGUUGUCAUCUGUUAAGUAGAGCUGGGUAUAUGUAUCGAGUAUUGAAGCAAAUUGACAAACGUUGUGGCUCUGAUUGUUGAUGGGUCGCAGUUACAGGCAAAAUGCUUUCAGCAGGCGUCCUGCUGAUUCACCCGAAACCAAUUUGCAACGCAAAGGAUGGUACGGCAAGUAGAGAAGGAAGUCAGGAAGUCAUCUAGCCGCGCACACCGCACUAGCCACGCACAUGAAUGAACAUAUAUUCUGCGUGUGUGUGCGUGUGUGUGUGUGUUACGCACACACACACACACACACACACACACGUACAUAAAUUGUGCUUUUUCCAAUGUAUAAUCAGAUUGCUUUUUAAUCGAUAAAGGAAGUUGAGUCUAUCCUUUCUCUUAACAGGGCCUUUACAUAUAUUUUGAUUUAUUUAGUGACGUGUCAACCAAAAUUGUAGAUAUUAAGCACUGUACGUGACCUGUAAAAUAUAACAAACCUAUUUAGAAGAGUGGAGCACUCUAGUCCAGUAAAAUAAAAUGGACCUUUGUUUCAGUACGUUUUAUUUUAUUUUUUUAUUUCAAUACCCACAAAGAAGCGUGCGAGUGGGCCCAUCACACUUGGGCCUUGUUUUUUUUCUUCAGGUCCAAGCUACGCGUUUGUGAAGGUUGCGUAACUCCAGAAUUGUGCUGUUCAUAGCAAUUGUCUCCCAAACACGACAGAUAAAAAACAUUUUCCCUUUUCUGCAUGACAAUGAACUCAAGCAUACUGUAUCCACGCAAACAAAAGAAUGAGGAUACAUUUUCUGGAUGUAUCUGGCCCAGUCCCAGCCCUGUUCUAAAUUCAACUGGAAAUGUUUUGGAGACGACCUGACAAAUUGUGCAUCACCUGCUUGUGUGCAGGUGAUGAUGCCCUUGGACAGUGACUCAUUUGAAGCCCCUUUCCAAGAAAUCACGGGCAAAUUUUUGUCACAUCCACUUGGGAGUGCCGACAGCCUCAACAUUCUAAUUAAAGCAAUUGUGCUUGAACAAAUUAUUUUUAGGGCUGUGAACACAUUUGACACUUUUUGUCACCAGAAACCAGACUUCUCAUUGACGUAUACUGGGUUAUAGGUCCCUAUUUUUGUAUCAUACACGAGUAUUGUCAUGCCAUUUUGUACAUAAGGACAAUGUGGUAUUUUAACCGGACGCUUUUGAACACAUUUACAACACAUAAAAAAAGCACAAGCUUGAGUCACGGAAUGAUGCAUGUCAUCAGUAAAACACUUUGAUAGAAUAAUGCACCACUGCGGAAUUUUGUAGCUGUAAUACAGUACUGCAUACACAGACAGACACAAUGCGGCAUAGAAUUACUCAUUAUACUUAUAUCAUUUUAAAAUGAAAUAUAAUGAGGACAUGAUCAUUUUUGCAACUGCCACUACUAUUAUUUGACAGAACCUUUUUGUUUUUGUUUUUUUGCGGGGGGGGGGGGGGGUGAAAGUUAGUAUUCCAUGAGCCGAAGAUCACACACAAUUAAUUGCCUUUCUCAUUUUGGAACAUUUUUGGCACGGAAGAAAACCACCAGCAAGCAAAAUCCAUUUGCCUGGAUUCAAUCUUUUGUAGAAUAGUGCAACCCGGAUAACUGAGAAGUGACACAGACACAACACACACACACACACACAUUUUUUUGCAAACACAUUGAUUUUUUUUAAUCAUAUUGUGACAGGAAGUUAAAAAUGACUUGGCAAUAGUGCUAAUAGGUGAAUGAUUUACUCUUGACAUUGGAUGUGAAUUUCAAACACAUUUAUUGAUGUUAAAAAAGAGAGUACAUGGGAGCUUUUGAAUUGUUAGUUUGAUGAGAAGCUCAUUUCCAAAUUACAUCCUUUCACUACCGGAAGAGGUUUUUUUUUUUGCAAACUUUUCUUCUCCUACGUGCUCAAUUUUGCUCAGCACUUCCAAACUUUUGCCCAACAUGAAAAGCCACAUUUACAGCACAAAGCAAUAUUGUUUAUUACAUGAAUCGAAAAAUAUACAGUCUGUACAUCAAGCUACACGAAUGAAGAAACACUUGGGAACAAAUUGAUGCCAUACAGAAACACUUUCCAAAGGUCAGUCCUACUCACUGGUUGGUAUCGAACAUCGAAUUCCAUUUUUUUGUAUCCAUUUUCAGAAAGUUAAAGUAUAUUUCCCACAAAAAACAAAAACAAAAAGUUCCAAAUCAAUUUUUGUUGGUGAACCAGUCCUGUGACUCCUUGAGCAUGAACAACUUUCAAACUGAGCGUUUUUUGCGGCGUUAGCUGGUGAAUAUGCUCGUUCUCAUGACUCAAGUGUUGCUCAUCGAGUCAGCGAUGAGUCGCCCGCCAUUUCUGAAAACCCUUUCUUGGGCUCUUUGUUCUUUGCGGUCUGCUUUUCCUUGCCGAGCUCUUGUAUUUUUACACUUUGUUUUAUAAUCUUUGUGCUAUUUGUGCACUCCUGGCAAAAUGUCCAUUCAGCUUCCAUGAAUUUUGUUUUGAGUUUGUUGCAUCCUCUGUGUGUGAAGAUCCCAGGAAUUUGUUGAUGUCGGGGGAAGGGAAUGGAAGAGGAGGUUCCAUUUUCUCUACACAACAGUUUCAAUGUUGGCUCUUUGUGAUUUCCUGUUCUGUGAAACAUAAAAUGUUGGAAUUAUUAUCUGGAGGUUUUUUUUUUAAAUGCUAUACAAAUACAGUUGAGUUGUAUGACGUUAAUUAUUUGUGCGUGUGUGUGUGUGUGUGUGUGUGUGUGUGUGUGUGUGUGUGUGUGUGUGUGUGUGUGUGUGUGUGUGUGUGUGUGUGUGUGUGUGUGCGCGCGCGUGUGUGUGUGUGUUGGAGGAAGUGGGAAGGGACGGAAAUGACUUGCCUCCUUCAAGAGAAAUUUAUCAGCCAUAAAGUCAACCGUUUGUGACGUGCCUGCCCACGCGGACUUGCCGUAUAGAAUAUUUGAUAAUGAUGCCGGGAAAGAAACAAUAGUAAAACCAUGAUCCAGCUCAUAUGUUGUAUGUCACACUGCAUAGCCCCCAGAGCGUGUCUUUAGGAUAUAUUUGCUUUUUGAUUACUUACAAACGGCAUUUUAGGGAUUGGGGCGAUAAUUCGCUCUUCGAGGGAAGUCUCUGCAACCUCUUGGUGGUGGUUCGGUAGUGAGCUUGUACUUGGUGGCUAAAUGUUGUAAAGGGUUUCCUAAUAUGGGCCGUCUUACAGGAGCGCCCUCCUCCCCCUGUGACCCCCCCUCCUUCAGGUUUCAGCCAGUGAUGACACAGCUCGGUACGACUCACUUCCCCAUUAAUUGGCUGAAACCAGUUCUUACAGGAUCCGCCUGUGAUAAAUGUGAGAGUUCUGAGAAGUCAUUCAUUUCUCCUCGCUGCAGCGGCAGAGGCGGCACUGCGAGGGAGUUGAACGGGUUCAUCCGUCUGUGUGAGUGUUGAGUGUGUGUAUGAAAGAGAGCGGGAGGAAACUGAGCGCCGAGUGGGAGAAUGUGGCUGACUACAGCUGUCGCGGGCACCAUCUGAAGACCAGACAACUUUAAUUUUCCUUCUUUGUUUUAUUGGAGGGGUUUUGAACACGAUGUUGACUUUUUGCCGCUGUUUUAUUAGCUAUUUCUAUUGUACGAGUGUGUGUGUGUGUGUCUUUGUUUCCGUGUGCGUGCGCAGCGAUGGGACUUGCACUCGUUGCCCCCCACCCCCCAACCCCCUCGUCUUCCUCCACAUGGACGUAGGGAAGCGGUGGAGACUGCGAAGAACAGCGUGUCCCCCUUUGUGGCUGCCCUUGGGCGGACUUGUCCCUCUGCUGGGUGCGGCACUGCAGCGCGCCUUAAGGGGCGCGCUCGGAGGCCCCCAGAGGGCCAAACCGCGCCGGAUAGGGGAUCCCAACUGUAAGUACAGGGGCCUUCAAGCCCCAACCCCACCCUACCCCCACUGCCCCCCCCCAGCUCACUGCCUCUAUUCAUUCACAUGUGCACACCGAGGAAGGAAUGUUUCCCCCCUCACUUUUGCCUCUUUCCCCGCACUUGUAUAAUUUUUACUCCUUUCUUCUUCUUCUUCUGCUUCAUUGUACAUUGACAGUUCUGUUUCCUUUCCAAAUUGGACUCGUAGACAGAAAAAAAAUGUUAAUUACUGUUUAUUUAGUUGUCAGCUAGAUUACAGGGGCUUGUUUAGAGUAACCGAGCACUGCACUAGGCGGGCUGGGGGGGGGGGGCUGUGUGUGUGGGUGGUGGAGGAGAGGGGCCACUGUGGGGUCUGGCUCCACUCAGUAUUGAAGCGUACGACUGUAGCGUGCUGACUCAUGCUCGCAUCUUUCCAAUUGGGAGCAUGUGAGUGCGUGCGUAUGGUCACUCCCCUGUGUGUCUCUCACAUAUACGCACUUGCACUCUGUGCCCCGCCUGAACUCAGCACUGACUGUAGACCGGGGCGGGGGCAGCCAGCACUGCCACCCUCCCCACCCUCUCUACUAGUGACAAUCCAUCAAAACCUCCCUGUCUGGAACAAAAAGAGCCAGUUGUAGCUCCAGCUCAUGUCUUGUCCAACGCUAUUUUUUUUUCCUCGCUGUCGCUGCGAGUGAUUCUUUGAGAACAAGAUUUCCUUUUUUUUUUUAAUGGGCUGUAUUUGGAAUGAGAAGAAGGAAAGACUUUAAGUUGCGUAAAGACAGAUUAAGGAGUUUCAAGAACAAUGUUCCUUUUUUCUUGUAACUCGAGCCCCGCCGCAGUUACAGGAGAGCGGCAAAGGCAAUUUUACUCGCAGGGCUGGGGUCAGCAGGGGCGUUCGGAGGGAGGACGGUGGGGGUUGCGACGUGUUUUAUUACCACUGAUCUCUAUCUGUCCUGCACAUGGAGCUGGAUCCCGCACCGGUUUACAGCACACGGGUGCGCUCGUGGUCCCCACAAGGAGAGCUGGAUGAAGGUUGCGGUCUCACGCCGCCGUGUUUUCACCGGCGCAUCAGCGAAGGAUCACCUCAUCUGCUUUCUCUGGUCCGGGUUCCCUCUCUACUUUCGUGCAUGUCAUUGUGUGAGUACUCGAAAGCUACGGUGUGAGUAAUUCAUUCCAAAAAGUCAUUGUUUGAACUUAUUUUUUUUUCCCCGGUUACCUGCCCAUUUUCGGAGGAGUUUGGCGAGCCGUGUCAGCGUCAGCUGCCGCGCCUGCGUUUUUGUUUGAGACGCGGCACACGUCUUUCUUCUAACGCUCAUCCCGCUACCUUCCGAGGCCAAGCGUUAAAACGCGGUCCGUAUCGCCCCUUUUGUCUGCCCUUAUUGUUCUGCCUGCAGGAAGGGAGCAUGAGUCAGCUACCAGAUGCAAGCGUGUAUUGAAUCACAUCGACGUGUGCGAAGGGAAACAGAGUUGCAAUAGGCUAGUGUUGUUGCAUGUGCUCUCGCUUUUAUCUCUUCAUAGUCUGUCCAAACUAGCCGCUUGCAUGUACAUUCUGGUAAGUGCUUCUCUUUUGAAACCUUUAACCCCGCAAGAUCAUGGAAGGGCAUUUAUAUCAAUUGUCUUUUGUGUGUGUGUGUCAGGUAUCUUUUAUUUGCCGUGAAGUGUUCUAGUUUCUUAUGUGCCGCCACCUCGCUACGCCGGACUGAGCGCAGCAGGCGCUCGAGCCGGCACAAGCGAGAGAGGGAAGGAGGAGGAGGAGGAGGAGGAGGUGGAAUGGGAGAGAGAGAAAAAAAAAGCCUCACGCGAGUGCACAGUGAAAAGCGUCUAUGCCGUUACCUCAGCUGAACCCCCGAAUGAACCCGUUGCACUCCCUUCGGUCGCAGAGCCAAGAGACGAAUCACUCGAGUAGAUUCGAAACAGAGAGGUACUGUUGGGCGCCCUGGCUCCCGGCUUCCCCUCCCGACGCUGCCGUCUCCCUCUUCCCCCUGUCACGGUAAGUGGGAUUAUAAGGCUUUUGUUCUGUCCGGUGUCCUCGCGCUCAUCGGCGGUGGUCACUCUCCUGGCCUGCCACAUAGCUUAUCAGACUGGUGUUGGCUGUUAAGAUUACAAGGCGACAACAGUCUGUAGGCUGUCUGACAUUCCGGGCUCUUUCAUCUGACCAGCAUCCUGUUUUGUCCUCCUCCUCCUCCUCCUCUCUUUGUCUCAGCUAGCAUCAGUUCCCAUUUCUGGGUGGGUGCGCUACCGUGAUACUUCCCAUUCAUCCCAAGUCUUUAUUUCUUCCUCCACGUUGACGUCUGAGGCUGUUUAAAAUGUGGAACUAAGGGUAUAUUGGGGCGGAUUCAUGCGUGCCAGUACCGAUGAACUUCUGUCAGUUGUGUGUUUGUGUGGGUGUGAAGAGUCCUUGAAUUUCCAGAGAAUCCAGACAGCACACACCUCAUUGCGACACAUGCGAUUGUGACAGCAGUUGUCAUCGUAGUACACACGCUUCCCUUUUACAACUUCCCUGUCCUAAACUCUCGCCUCUUGCGACAUGUUUUUCUUUUUUAUUGCCACUCCAUCGUGCCGACUGUUAAGGUGGCCUUUUGAUAAAAAGCCAAAAGUCAGUCAACAGGUGAGUUGUUUUAAAGCAGAAAAUUGCUCAUACAUAUAAUAAUGUUGGAUAAUAGUGAAGCAGACCCCUGACUUGUUUCAUAUUGUGUAAAUGUCUUAUGCAUUGUACUACUUACUGUCUGUACCUGAAUUGAUCAUUGCUGUCUUGUUUUUUUUUUCACUUCUAAUAAAGUGUGCUUCCAAAAAAAAAAA